CACACCGCCCGUCACAUCAUGAAAGUGGGCUGUACUAGAAGUCCCGAUCCCAACCGCAAGGAGGGUAAGGCCCAAGGUAUGGCUCAUGAUUGGGGUG
This 97-nucleotide ribosomal RNA is filed under the name uncultured bacterium. Its description in RNAcentral is "partial 16S ribosomal RNA". It matches the Rfam family "Bacterial small subunit ribosomal RNA", at positions 1386 to 1482 of the family's 1533-position model. The record is from RNAcentral.